This 2908-nucleotide ribosomal RNA is filed under the name Salmonella enterica subsp. enterica. RNAcentral's name for it is "23S ribosomal RNA". It matches the Rfam family "Bacterial large subunit ribosomal RNA". Lineage: Bacteria; Pseudomonadati; Pseudomonadota; Gammaproteobacteria; Enterobacterales; Enterobacteriaceae. The record is from RNAcentral.
GGUUAAGCGACUAAGCGUACACGGUGGAUGCCCUGGCAGUCAGAGGCGAUGAAGGGCGUGCUAAUCUGCGAUAAGCGCCGGUAAGGUGAUAUGAACCGUUAUAACCGGCGAUACCCGAAUGGGGAAACCCAGUGUGACUCGUCACACUAUCAUUAACUGAAUCCAUAGGUUAAUGAGGCGAACCGGGGGAACUGAAACAUCUAAGUACCCCGAGGAAAAGAAAUCAACCGAGAUUCCCCCAGUAGCGGCGAGCGAACGGGGAGGAGCCCAGAGCCUGAAUCAGCAUGUGUGUUAGUGGAAGCGUCUGGAAAGGCGCGCGAUACAGGGUGACAGCCCCGUACACAAAAGCGCAUGUGCUGUGAGCUCGAUGAGUAGGGCGGGACACGUGGUAUCCUGUCUGAAUAUGGGGGGACCAUCCUCCAAGGCUAAAUACUCCUGACUGACCGAUAGUGAACCAGUACCGUGAGGGAAAGGCGAAAAGAACCCCGGCGAGGGGAGUGAAAAAGAACCUGAAACCGUGUACGUACAAGCAGUGGGAGCACAGGUUUACCUGUGUGACUGCGUACCUUUUGUAUAAUGGGUCAGCGACUUAUAUUCUGUAGCAAGGUUAACCGAAUAGGGGAGCCGGAGGGAAACCGAGUCUUAAUUGGGCGUUAAGUUGCAGGGUAUAGACCCGAAACCCGGUGAUCUAGCCAUGGGCAGGUUGAAGGUUGGGUAACACUAACUGGAGGACCGAACCGACUAAUGUUGAAAAAUUAGCGGAUGACCUGUGGCUGGGGGUGAAAGGCCAAUCAAACCGGGAGAUAGCUGGUUCUCCCCGAAAGCUAUUUAGGUAGCGCCUCGUGAAUUCAUCUCCGGGGGUAGAGCACUGUUUCGGCUAGGGGGCCAUCCCGGCUUACCAACCCGAUGCAAACUGCGAAUACCGGAGAAUGUUAUCACGGGAGACACACGGCGGGUGCUAACGUCCGUCGUGAAGAGGGAAACAACCCAGACCGCCAGCUAAGGUCCCAAAGUCAUGGUUAAGUGGGAAACGAUGUGGGAAGGCCCAGACAGCCAGGAUGUUGGCUUAGAAGCAGCCAUCAUUUAAAGAAAGCGUAAUAGCUCACUGGUCGAGUCGGCCUGCGCGGAAGAUGUAACGGGGCUAAACCAUGCACCGAAGCUGCGGCAGCGACGCUGAUGCGUUGUUGGGUAGGGGAGCGUUCUGUAAGCCUGUGAAGGUGGCCUGUGAGGGUUGCUGGAGGUAUCAGAAGUGCGAAUGCUGACAUAAGUAACGAUAAAGCGGGUGAAAAGCCCGCUCGCCGGAAGACCAAGGGUUCCUGUCCAACGUUAAUCGGGGCAGGGUGAGUCGACCCCUAAGGCGAGGCCGAAAGGCGUAGUCGAUGGGAAACGGGUUAAUAUUCCCGUACUUGGUGUUACUGCGAAGGGGGGACGGAGAAGGCUAUGUUGGCCGGGCGACGGUUGUCCCGGUUUAAGCGUGUAGGUGUGUGUUCCAGGUAAAUCCGGUUCACUUUAACACUGAGGCGUGACGACGAGGCACUACGGUGCUGAAGCAACAAAUGCCCUGCUUCCAGGAAAAGCCUCUAAGCAUCAGGUAACAUCAAAUCGUACCCCAAACCGACACAGGUGGUCAGGUAGAGAAUACCAAGGCGCUUGAGAGAACUCGGGUGAAGGAACUAGGCAAAAUGGUGCCGUAACUUCGGGAGAAGGCACGCUGACACGUAGGUGAAGUGAUUUACUCAUGGAGCUGAAGUCAGUCGAAGAUACCAGCUGGCUGCAACUGUUUAUUAAAAACACAGCACUGUGCAAACACGAAAGUGGACGUAUACGGUGUGACGCCUGCCCGGUGCCGGAAGGUUAAUUGAUGGGGUCAGCGCAAGCGAAGCUCCUGAUCGAAGCCCCGGUAAACGGCGGCCGUAACUAUAACGGUCCUAAGGUAGCGAAAUUCCUUGUCGGGUAAGUUCCGACCUGCACGAAUGGCGUAAUGAUGGCCAGGCUGUCUCCACCCGAGACUCAGUGAAAUUGAACUCGCUGUGAAGAUGCAGUGUACCCGCGGCAAGACGGAAAGACCCCGUGAACCUUUACUAUAGCUUGACACUGAACAUUGAGCCUUGAUGUGUAGGAUAGGUGGGAGGCUUUGAAGCGUGGACGCCAGUCUGCGUGGAGCCGACCUUGAAAUACCACCCUUUAAUGUUUGAUGUUCUAACGUGGACCCGUAAUCCGGGUUGCGGACAGUGUCUGGUGGGUAGUUUGACUGGGGCGGUCUCCUCCUAAAGAGUAACGGAGGAGCACGAAGGUUGGCUAAUCCUGGUCGGACAUCAGGAGGUUAGUGCAAUGGCAUAAGCCAGCUUGACUGCGAGCGUGACGGCGCGAGCAGGUGCGAAAGCAGGUCAUAGUGAUCCGGUGGUUCUGAAUGGAAGGGCCAUCGCUCAACGGAUAAAAGGUACUCCGGGGAUAACAGGCUGAUACCGCCCAAGAGUUCAUAUCGACGGCGGUGUUUGGCACCUCGAUGUCGGCUCAUCACAUCCUGGGGCUGAAGUAGGUCCCAAGGGUAUGGCUGUUCGCCAUUUAAAGUGGUACGCGAGCUGGGUUUAGAACGUCGUGAGACAGUUCGGUCCCUAUCUGCCGUGGGCGCUGGAGAACUGAGGGGGGCUGCUCCUAGUACGAGAGGACCGGAGUGGACGCAUCACUGGUGUUCGGGUUGUCAUGCCAAUGGCACUGCCCGGUAGCUAAAUGCGGAAGAGAUAAGUGCUGAAAGCAUCUAAGUACGAAACUUGCCCCGAGAUGAGUUCUCCCUGAGACUUAGAGUCUCCUGAAGGAACGUUGAAGACGACGACGUUGAUAGGCCGGGUGUGUAAGCGCAGCGAUGCGUUGAGCUAACCGGUACUAAUGAACCGUGAGGCUUAACCUU